This 255-nucleotide ribosomal RNA is filed under the name uncultured bacterium. Its description in RNAcentral is "partial 16S ribosomal RNA". It matches the Rfam family "Bacterial small subunit ribosomal RNA", at positions 524 to 776 of the family's 1533-position model. The record is from RNAcentral.
UACGUAGGGUGCAAGCGUUAAUCGGAAUUACUGGGCGUAAAGCGUGCGCAGGCGGUUGUGCAAGACCGAUGUGAAAUCCCCGGGCUUAACCUGGGAAUGGCAUUGGUGACUGCACGGCUAGAGUGUGUCAGAGGGGGGUAGAAUUCCACGUGUAGCAGUGAAAUGCGUAGAGAUGUGGAGGAAUACCGAUGGCGAAGGCAGCCCCCUGGGCCAAUACUGACGCUCAUGCACGAAAGCGUGGGGGAGCAAAACAGG